GGCUCCAUGGCUUAGUUGGUUAAAGCGCCUGUCUUGUAAACAGGAGAUCCUGGGUUCGAGUCCCAGUGGGGCCU
This 74-nucleotide transfer RNA is filed under the name Camelus ferus (Wild Bactrian camel). It matches the Rfam family "tRNA". From Rfam's summary of the family: Transfer RNA (tRNA) molecules are approximately 80 nucleotides in length. Lineage: Eukaryota; Metazoa; Chordata; Mammalia; Artiodactyla; Camelidae. The record is from Rfam by way of RNAcentral.